Small nuclear RNA from Prosopis cineraria, 107 nucleotides. The record is from RefSeq and is a predicted model, not a curated record. Lineage: Eukaryota; Viridiplantae; Streptophyta; Magnoliopsida; Fabales; Fabaceae.
GUCCCUCCAAGGACAUUCAAUAAAAUUGGAAUGAUAUAGAGAAAAUUAGUAUGGCCCUGCAUGAAGAUGACACACAUAAAUCGAAAAAGAUUGAAGGCUCGAUUUUU